Molecule: long non-coding RNA, 1032 nt
Filed under: Medicago truncatula (barrel medic)
Lineage: Eukaryota; Viridiplantae; Streptophyta; Magnoliopsida; Fabales; Fabaceae
Description: lncRNA gene43800
Source: RNAcentral
AAAAUAACUUGAAAAAUAAAUAAUUAUUUAGCGGACACGACUGGAUAUGAAGUUUCCAACUGCAUGGCCAAAUUAAGAACAAUUGGAUGAAGCACAGCUGCAUGAUUGAUAGGUAUCCUCUCACUAUCCAUCCGUAAGGAGGUUUAUCGCUUUCACGUUAUUCUCAUCUCAAAACAAUCAAAAAAGAUUGAGAAAUGAUAUUUGUACAAUACUUUAUUAUAACUUUUUAACAACUUCUCUUUCAUACUUACAUUAUAUUUUUAUUCUCUCUCUAUUGUUUUGGACCAAUGAGAAGAGCGAAAAUGAAAGUUGUCUCAAAUGAUUGUGUAUAUAUCACUACUCAAAAAAAUUACAGGGGUUUGGAUUAUAGUACUAGCUAUGCCUAUUAUUAUCUUUAAGAAACUUUUUCUUUCGAGUAAUGAUAAAUGAACACAAAAAAAUAGACACAAAUACGACAUCAGGGAUAGUGUGGUAAUUUCCUUCAAAAUACAAUGGCAUAAUUGAAAUUUUAACUAAAAAUAAAGGGUGUUUUUGUUGAUUGCUUUCAGUUUUCUUUCUUCCUUUCCUUUCUCAAUUUCUGACGCCGUACCACCAUCACCACUAUCCAACCAUCACUCACCAACACCAACCUCCACGCCGUCGUUCACCAACACCGUCCUCCUCGCCGUCGUCGUCAUCGCCACCACUAGAAUUCUCCAAUGCCGUUUAGAUCUCGUCUUCUCCACCUAAAACCACUGUUCUCAUCUGUGACCGCCGCCUACUGAAAGUCACGGAUUCGCCGGCGCAAAGUGAGAGAGUGGUCGCCGGUGAUUAGAAGAGAACGGUCGUCGGUGAGAAGAAGAUCGACGCCGAUGAGAGAACACGAGAGUUGCAGGAGGAAACAGUGCUUGAUGAGAGAGUGGAAGAGUACUGGUUUGAAAGAAUGAGAAAAAAAAAAAAGAGUAUAAGUGUAGAGUGAAAUACAGUGUCCUAUUUGUGUCUAUAUUUUUGUGUUUGUUUAUCAUUUCUCUUUUCUUUAUUAUAUAAAAAAAG